CCUCAACCAAACCUUGGAUCUGAGUUGGACCCAUCGACGUCACUGGUCCUACUAAUUCUACCUAUAAUUACUCUUUUACCCCUAAUCGUCCAUUCACAUCCACACAAGCAAUAGAUACACUCACUAAUCCUAAAGUCCCCUCAGAUACAUCUCAUACACCGACUUUUAAACAAGCAUAUAUGGACGACUCCAAAACCACAAAUGAUUCCAACUGUGAUACAGCUAGUUCGGAAAGGACCGACGACAGUCAUACCCCAAACCCUAGAAGCACCCCUAUACCUCUUAACUUAAACUUACCAAAAGAAGAUAUAUUAAAAGAGGAAUCUACUUUUAUUAUACCUAGUACAAAAGGACAAAGCCAUAAAAAUAACUCCCAGAAUAUCUCCAUAACCCUUGUCACUUCUAUAUCUAUCAACUUACCUAAUGUAGAAAAUGAUGCCUCGCUCAUCAUUCAGUUCCCAAACUAGACACCAAAACGCAAGAUUACAACUACUCCAAACUCACUAUCAAGUCAACAUUCCAAGGAUGGAGAAUUCACCAACCCUGAUCCCCAAACUCUCAGAUCCCUACCAUAUCGAUGCCAAUGACACCCAUUUGCUCCACCCCAGCCCCACUACCAUAUGCAAUACCCAAGUCAUGGCUGGAGAUGAGCCUGCAGGGGCACUCACUCUCCUUUAGAAUGAUGCAGGAAAGGAGGGAAGUAGACAUUGUAGUGUAAAAACCAUCAUUCAUAGCUCAAGUGGUAUCCGAGGGGAUGCGUCUGGCAAUAGAAAGCUACCACAACCAAGUUUGGCUAGCCUCAGGCAAGUUACCCAUUUCCCCAGCUCCUCUUCUUUCACAUUCCUACUUGGGAAAUGCCACUACUACACCCACUGGAACAACAUCAGGGGACAUACCUUUCUUUCCAUCUUAUUCAUCAAACCCAACAAUGGACCCACUAUACAACCCUCUAUAGUCCUACUAACAAGGAGUACCUCUUUCUGUGAUGGUCCCGAUGGGGUCUUUAGGAAGCUCAACACAGAGUCCAACAGAUGUGGCGUUAUCAUCCCAGGUACCGAUUCCUUCUCGCUUAACCUCCCCCCUACAUUUCCCCAUCUUACUUUGAACACAGAGGAAAUAGAUGGAGCAAUAGAACUUAUGAGGAAAACAAGAACAGAAAUAACAGUUCUAAAAGAAAUAAAAAUAAUGAUAUAGAAAGCCUUGUACGAAAAGAAGCUCAUUCUUAUUUGUCAUCUGAAGCUAUUAAAAACUUGCUAGAUAUAAAGCCUCCACCAAACCCAUAAAUAGGGAACUAUAUUCUAAUAAUAAACCCUUUGUUGAGGGAACAAGUGAUACUGGUAGAAUCCAGGAGGAAUUUACCAUUAAUAGUUCCAUGCAACUUAAACAGAUCGAUGAACAUAAUAGUAUGGAAUUGUAGGAGUGUAACUACCCCAAUUUUAGGUGAAACUUUAGAUCACUUCUAGACUGGCACAAACCUCCCCUUGUUUCCUUACUGGAAACCAAGAUGACAGUCCAUCAGUCCCUCCUCAAGAACUUUUCAUUGAAUGAAAUGAUAGAAGUUCCAUCUAAUGGAUAAUCAAGAGGCAUCGUAGUGAUUUGGGACAACUACCUGGAGCUUGACUGGAUCGCAACAACUAACCAGAAAAUGCAUGCAAUGAUUAAGGGAAUUACUCCACAGGCUGAAGAACCCACUGAUCAAGCAUAGCCGUAGGAAGCAACACCAGGUAGCAGAUCUACUAGCUAAAUAGGGAGCAAGUCAAGAAGCGAAUGGAGUUUUUGUAGAAUGAAAAGCAAUCCCACCUUUUGCAUAUAAAGCCAUGGUAGCAGAUAGGGAAAAAAGAAUUAGUUUUGUUGAUCUACAUAGUUACCCCUGUAUUAGGAAUGUAUCUAAUAGUAUUAUAUCUAGAAUUGCUACUACUAUCCCCACAAAAUAGUAGAUCGUGUAACCACUUGAUUGUUCUGGAUGCAUAUAAGUGUUAUUAAUAAUAUUUCCUUUCUAACCAAUAAGAAACAAA
Molecule: long non-coding RNA, 2015 nt
Organism: Solanum dulcamara
Lineage: Eukaryota; Viridiplantae; Streptophyta; Magnoliopsida; Solanales; Solanaceae
Exons: 2
Source: RefSeq, a predicted model, not a curated record